RNAcentral lists this ribosomal RNA (484 nucleotides) under uncultured bacterium. RNAcentral's name for it is "partial 16S ribosomal RNA". It matches the Rfam family "Bacterial small subunit ribosomal RNA", at positions 30 to 507 of the family's 1533-position model. The record is from RNAcentral.
AUUGAACGCUGGCGGCAGGCCUAACACAUGCAAGUCGAGCGGAUGAAGGGAGCUUGCUCCUGGAUUCAGCGGCGGACGGGUGAGUAAUGCCUAGGAAUCUGCCUGGUAGUGGGGGAUAACGUCCGGAAACGGGCGCUAAUACCGCAUACGUCCCGAGGGAGAAAGUGGGGGAUCUUCGGACCUCACGCUAUCAGAUGAGCCUAGGUCGGAUUAGCUAGUUGGUGGGGUAAAGGCCUACCAAGGCGACGAUCCGUAACUGGUCUGAGAGGAUGAUCAGUCACACUGGAACUGAGACACGGCCCAGACUCCUACGGGAGGCAGCAGUGGGGAAUAUUGGACAAUGGGCGAAAGCCUGAUCCAGCCAUGCCGCGUGUGUGAAGAAGGUCUUCGGAUUGUAAAGCACUUUAAGUUGGGAGGAAGGGCAGUAAGUUAAUACCUUGCUGUUUUGACGUUACCAACAGAAUAAGCACCGGCUAACUUCGUG